UACCAGCACCCCGAGUGGUCGGGACGAUUAUUGGGCCUAAAGCAUCCGUAGCCGGUCCUGCAAGUCUUCCGUUAAAUCCAGCUGCUCAACAGAUGGGCUGCGGGAGAUACUACAGGGCUAGGAGGCGGGAGAGGCAAGCGGUACUUUAUGGGUAGGGGGUAAAAUCCGCUGAUCCAUAGAAGACCACCAGUGGCGAAGGCGGCUUGCCAGAACGCGCUCGACGGUGAGGGAUGAAAGCUGGGGGAGCAAACCGG
Molecule: ribosomal RNA, 254 nt
Filed under: uncultured bacterium
Lineage: Bacteria
Description: partial 16S ribosomal RNA
Rfam family: Archaeal small subunit ribosomal RNA
Source: RNAcentral